Molecule: ribosomal RNA, 116 nt
Filed under: Streptococcus agalactiae
Lineage: Bacteria; Bacillati; Bacillota; Bacilli; Lactobacillales; Streptococcaceae
Also listed under: 29 other names
Source: RNAcentral
UCUGGUGGCGAUGGCGAGAAGGUCACACCCGUUCCCAUACCGAACACGGAAGUUAAGCUUCUCAGCGCCGAUGGUAGUUGGGGGUUUCCCCCUGUGAGAGUAGGACGCCGCCGGGC